Molecule: ribosomal RNA, 460 nt
Filed under: uncultured bacterium
Lineage: Bacteria
Description: partial 16S ribosomal RNA
Rfam family: Bacterial small subunit ribosomal RNA
Source: RNAcentral
CCUACGGGAGGCAGCAGUGAGGAAUAUUGGUCAAUGGACGAGAGUCUGAACCAGCCAAGUAGCGUGAAGGAUGACUGACCUAUGGGUUGUAAACUUCUUUUAUAUGGGAAUAAAAUGUUCCACGUGUGGGAUUUUGUAUGUACCAUAUGAAUACGGAUCGGCUAACUCCGUGCCAGCAGCCGCGGUAAUACGGAGGAUCCGAGCGUUAUCCGGAUUUAUUGGGUUUAAAGGGAGCGUAGGUGGAUUGUUAAGUCAGUUGUGAAAGUUUGCGGCUCAACCGUAAAAUUGCAGUUGAAACUGGCAGUCUUGAGUACAGUAGAGGUGGGCGGAAUUCGUGGUGUAGCGGUGAAAUGCGUAGAUAUCACGAAGAACUCCGAUUGCGAAGGCAGUUCACUGGACUGCAACUGACACUGAGGCUCGAAAGUGUGGGUAUCAAACAGGAUGAGAUACCCGGGUAGUC